Molecule: ribosomal RNA, 331 nt
Filed under: uncultured eukaryote
Lineage: Eukaryota
Description: partial 18S ribosomal RNA
Rfam family: Eukaryotic small subunit ribosomal RNA
Source: RNAcentral
CCCUUAGAUGUUCUGGGCCGCACGCGCGCUACACUGACGAAGUCAGCGAGCAUGUCCUACGCCGACAGGUGCGGGGAAUCUUGUCAAACUUCGUCGUGAUGGGGAUUGAUUAUUGAAAUUCUUGAUCAUCAACGAGGAAUUCCUAGUAAGCGCAAGUCAGCAGCUUGCGUUGAUUACGUCCCUGCCCUUUGUACACACCGCCCGUCGCUACUACCGAUUGAAUGGUUUAGUGAGAUCUUCGGAUUGGCUCCACUGCGGCUCAGCAAUGGGCUCGGUGGAUGCCGAAAAGUUGAUCAAACUUGAUCAUUUAGAGGAAGUAAAAGUCGUAACA